GGGGGCAUAGCUCAGUUCGUAGAACAUGUGCUUAGCAUGUACAGGGUCCUGGGUUCAAUCCCUAGUACCUCCU
Molecule: transfer RNA, 73 nt
Filed under: Camelus bactrianus (Bactrian camel)
Lineage: Eukaryota; Metazoa; Chordata; Mammalia; Artiodactyla; Camelidae
Also listed under: 1 other name
Rfam family: tRNA
About the family: Transfer RNA (tRNA) molecules are approximately 80 nucleotides in length. Their secondary structure includes four short double-helical elements and three loops (D, anti-codon, and T loops).
Source: Rfam by way of RNAcentral